RNAcentral lists this ribosomal RNA (654 nucleotides) under Bacillus subtilis. RNAcentral's name for it is "bacterial SSU rRNA". It matches the Rfam family "Bacterial small subunit ribosomal RNA", at positions 62 to 705 of the family's 1533-position model. Lineage: Bacteria; Bacillati; Bacillota; Bacilli; Caryophanales; Bacillaceae. The record is from RNAcentral.
UCGAGCGGACAGAUGGGAGCUUGCUCCCUGAUGUUAGCGGCGGACGGGUGAKUAACACGUGGGUAACCUGCCUGUAAGACUGGGAUAACUCCGGGAAACCGGGGCUAAUACCGGAUGSUUGUUUGAACCGCAUGGUUCAGACAUAAAAGGUGGCUUCGCUACCACUUACAGAUGGACCCGCGGCGCAUUAGCUAGUUGGUGAGGUAACGGCUCACCAAGGCRACGAUGCGUAGCCGACCUGAGAGGGUGAUCGGCCACACUGGGACUAGACACGGCCCAGACUCCUACGGGAGGCAGCAGUAGGGAAUCUUCGCAAUGGACGAAAGUCUGACGGAGCAACGCCGCGUGGUGAUGAAGGUUUUCGGAUCGUAAAGCUCUGUUGUUAGGGAAGAACAAGUGCCGUUCAAAUAGGGGGCACCUUGACGGUACCUAACCAGAAAGCCACGGCUAACUACGUGCCAGCAGCCGCGGUAAUACGUAGGUGGCAAGCGUUGUCCGGAAUUAUUGGGCGUAAAGGGCUCGCAGGCGGUUUCUUAAGUCUGAUGGAAAGCCCCCGGCUCAACCGGGGAGGGUCAUUGGAAACUGGGGAACUUGAGUGCAGAAGAGAGAGUGGAAUUCCACGUGUAGCGGUGAAAUGCGUAKAGAUGUGGAGGA